This 176-nucleotide unclassified non-coding RNA is filed under the name uncultured fungus. Its description in RNAcentral is "sequence contains ITS1". The record is from RNAcentral. Lineage: Eukaryota; Fungi.
CAGAGUUGCAAAACUCCCUAAACCAUUGUGAACGUUACCUAAACCGUUGCUUCGGCGGGCGGCUCCGGGGUUCUCGGACCCCGGGCGCCCCUGGGCCCCACCGCGGGCGCCCGCCGGAGGUCACCAAACUCUUGAUAAUUCAUGGCCUCUCUGAGUCUUCUGUACUGAAUAAGUCA